This 484-nucleotide ribosomal RNA is filed under the name uncultured bacterium. RNAcentral's name for it is "partial 16S ribosomal RNA". It matches the Rfam family "Bacterial small subunit ribosomal RNA", at positions 30 to 507 of the family's 1533-position model. The record is from RNAcentral.
AUUGAACGCUGGCGGCAGGCCUAACACAUGCAAGUCGAGCGGAUGAAGGGAGCUUGCUCCUGGAUUCAGCGGCGGACGGGUGAGUAAUGCCUAGGAAUCUGCCUGGUAGUGGGGGAUAACGUCCGGAAACGGGCGCUAAUACCGCAUACGUCCUGCGGGAGAAAGUGGGGGAUCUUCGGACCUCACGCUAUCAGAUGAGCCUAGGUCGGAUUAGCUAGUUGGUGGGGUAAAGGCCUACCAAGGCGACGAUCCGUAACUGGUCUGAGAGGAUGAUCAGUCACACUGGAACUGAGACACGGUCCAGACUCCUACGGGAGGCAGCAGUGGGGAAUAGUGGACAAUGGGCGAAAGCCUGAUCCAGCCAUGCCGCGUGUGUGAAGAAGGUCUUCGGAUUGUAAAGCACUUUAAGUGGGGAGGAAGGGCAGUAAGUUAAUACCUUGCUGUUUUGACGGUACCAACAGAAUAAGCACCGGCUAACUUCGUG